Molecule: long non-coding RNA, 400 nt
Organism: Mus musculus (house mouse)
Lineage: Eukaryota; Metazoa; Chordata; Mammalia; Rodentia; Muridae
Product: predicted gene, 33044
Exons: 2
Source: RefSeq, marked validated
GUGACGCCCGGUCUGUCGGAGAGAAAGCCGCUCAGGCUGAAUUGGCUUCCUAUUUUGGGUGGAUAGCUUCCCUCGGCCCGAGGCAGAAAAAGAGCUGUGGUGAAAUCUCAUCACCAGGAGAACCUCGGAUCUCCUCAAGGAAGAGGGGCAGCACGAUCUAGGGCGAGCCAUUUAGAAGAUGUACUGAGAACGGCUGAAGAACCAAAGGCUGUCCAAUUCCAAUUCUUUGUCGUUCGGUUCGUAUGUGUGUGUGUGCGGUUUUCUUUUUAGACAAGAUUUUUUCCUGGCUGUGCUGGCCAGAGAACUCCCAGUUUACACCAGGCUGGCUUGGAACUCAGAGAAAUCAUGCCUGCCUCUCUGCCUUCCGAGUGCUUGAGAUUAAAGAUGUGUUCCACCACAA